CCCUGCCCUUUGUACACACCGCCCGUCGCUACUACCGAUUGAAUGGCUUAGUGAGACCUCUGGAUUGGCUGGCACUCUUUGGCAACAAGGACGCUAGCCGAGAAAUUGGUCAAAUUUGGUCAUUUAGA
RNAcentral lists this ribosomal RNA (128 nucleotides) under uncultured eukaryote. RNAcentral describes it as "partial small subunit ribosomal RNA". It matches the Rfam family "Eukaryotic small subunit ribosomal RNA", at positions 1651 to 1777 of the family's 1831-position model. The record is from RNAcentral.